UUAUUUUAUUUUUUUCUCCGAUGGCUUUCGGUUAGAAUAAGGAAAUUAUCGAUUCAGUAAGCCAAAGAGUGAUUUGUGAUUUAGGAGUCUGAUUCUGAUAUUCCAAUUAGGGCAGAUGGCGGGAUAGGUCUCAUCCUGUAUUUUUUGUCAGAUUGCCCUCAAUUACACAUCCACCACUCUCCUUCACUCUGUUUGUCUCUCUCUUUCUUUCUAAUCUCUGUUUGGUUGCUUAGAAUAUUCAUUGCAAUUUGCUGGAUUAAGCUAAGCUGAUUCCAUGGUUUCUUUCUUUCCUUAGCAACCAGACGCAUUAUUAUUUGCAAUACAUUGGCUUCCUAACUUCAAUUAUUUGGAUCCCAAAGGAUGACAAGGUUCUCGCCUUUCAAGAUAUCAAACCUGCUGCUUUCAGGCAUUACUUGAUGAGCACAUUCCAACUGUUAGGAAUCUCUGGAGGAAAGAAGAAGAUUACACUUUGGGUAAAGAAAUUUUAAACGCAUCAAUUCAUGUGGUUUGAAAUUUGAACUAGUGAGAGAAUUCUUCUUUCGUUUUUUUGUCUAUGGCUAAUGUUUUAUCCUGCUAUUUUAUAGUAAACCACAUGUUAAGUAUAGGCCAAAUGCUAUUAUGCUGAGACGCUCCUCAAUCGAAACAGCACAGGUAUCUAUUCUUGUGCAUAAAAGUGUGUUUACUAAAUUCUAUAUUACUUUUGAUUGAGAUAAGCUCUUUUUAUAAGAUCAUCCAAAAAUGGAGUUUAUGCAACAGAAAUUGGAGUUGAAGUAGGAAAUAAAUAACUUGCAUAUUCUUGAUAUAGAUAAUCUUUUUAUCCGCAUAAAUGGUCUUAGGUUUGAGCGACCGUUUUCAAAAAUCAUGCAGCUCUAGGAUAAAAUUAUUGUAGUUAGUUUCUAAUGCUCACUUCUUGUAUUGUUGGGUUUUCCAUCUCUUCAAUGCUUUUUUCGACUAAUUCCAUAGUUUAUUCUAAUCAAUCAGGACUAGUUUGAAUACAGAAUUUUCUGGUGAAGCAGGUGGCUUGUACAUGCAUGUGUUUUGUAGUGUGGACUACAUCCAAUCAUUGAAGGAUUGAAAUCAGUUUAUGCAUUUUCAGGCAGACUUAUGUUUUAUGACCCAACGCUAUAGAUGAUUUUUAGAUUUCCUAGUGAGCCCUUUGUAUUCUCAUAUGCAAGAUAUAAAUUACAUGAGCCUGAGUGAGUGAACUUUUUGGUUCCUCUUUUUGGUGGGGUGGGUAAGGGGGAGGAGUAAGAAUCAAGAAUAAUGUACUGCUUAAUUCAUACACAAAUUGGCCAGGUGUGCUAUGAGCUCUCUGCAACUUUUACUUUUUUCUCAACCUUUUUUGCACAAAAAUUUUUCUAAUGCAAGUUUAAUUGGAAAAUUUCUCCUGCCCGUUUGACGGAUUUGGCUUUCAUCAGCCUCCAUUGAACAGUGUUGACCAUUUACACCUCCAUUGUCUGGCAUUACCCUUCAAACCCAGAUGGAAACAUAUAAAAUACCUGUCUUCUGGACCACUUGGGUUUGUUGAAUCUGAGAAGUUGCUGGAGAAGAUAAAUCCCACAUAACCACUUACAACUUAGGAAGUGCAUCCAUAAAUAUCGUACCUUACACUCUUCAUUGGUACUUCUGCUUCAGGUAAAAUACUUGAUGCUAUUAAAUCCUAUGGUCCACAAGAUGAAUGCUAAAAACCAUUGCUAAGAAAGGCUCAACCAAUUUUUUAAUAGUUAAAAUGUUGAUACCCCCCUGAGCUUUUUGAAAAACUGAAUUUUCUUACUUUUGGGUUGGCCUAUAUCAUA
Long non-coding RNA from Hevea brasiliensis (rubber tree), 1796 nucleotides. RefSeq lists it as uncharacterized. The transcript has 4 exons. Lineage: Eukaryota; Viridiplantae; Streptophyta; Magnoliopsida; Malpighiales; Euphorbiaceae. The record is from RefSeq and is a predicted model, not a curated record.